AAGAAUAAGAAGGAAAAGUAGGGAAGCAAAGAAAAGGACAAAGUCUUACUGAUUUAUUUUUUAAAAAAGGAAAGAGCUGAAAGUACUUAAGCCAUGGUAGAUACAACUUCUUAUAUGUUACAAUUGCUGUUGGAAAGCUAGGACACAGAUUGUUAUAUGCAUCAUUUAUUCUGCCAACACGUCUUGAGAGUUACCAUUAGAUGCAUCUUUUUACAUACAAAUAUUGAUAAAGCUCCAGUACACAUGUCCCAACUGUGAAAUUAGUAUGCCAUGUUUCAUACACUCCCUUUCCUUAACCACAACGAACUGAAAAACUUUGACAUGCAAAAGAGUGUAACAUAAUCUUGACUCAGAAGAUAUGGGUGUGUUUAUGCCUAUUUAGGUUCUUUCUUAUUAACUAGUACUACUUUUUUUCACUUUCCA
RNAcentral lists this long non-coding RNA (423 nucleotides) under Capsicum annuum. RNAcentral's name for it is "long non-coding RNA (CANN_LNC007642)". Lineage: Eukaryota; Viridiplantae; Streptophyta; Magnoliopsida; Solanales; Solanaceae. The record is from RNAcentral.